GGGGCACUAGCUCAUCUGGUAGAGCGCUUCCAUGGCAUGGAAGAGGUGAGCAGUUCAAGUCUGCUGUGCUCCACCA
RNAcentral lists this transfer RNA (76 nucleotides) under Candidatus Saccharimonadota bacterium. RNAcentral describes it as "Candidatus Saccharibacteria bacterium tRNA-Ala". It matches the Rfam family "tRNA". Rfam says of the family: Transfer RNA (tRNA) molecules are approximately 80 nucleotides in length. Their secondary structure includes four short double-helical elements and three loops (D, anti-codon, and T loops). Lineage: Bacteria; Candidatus Saccharimonadota. The record is from RNAcentral.